Molecule: long non-coding RNA, 2397 nt
Filed under: Lynx pardinus (Iberian lynx)
Lineage: Eukaryota; Metazoa; Chordata; Mammalia; Carnivora; Felidae
Source: RNAcentral
UGGUCCUGCGGUUCUGGAACCAGAUUUUGACCUGCGUCUCGGUGAGGCUGAGCGACAGCGCGAGGUUCAGGCGCUCGCACACGGACAGGUAGCGCGUGGCCCGGAACUUGUUCUCCAAAGCCACCAGCUGCUCGUAGGUGAAGGCGGUGCGCGCGCGCCUGGGCUUGGCGCAGCGGGGCUCCGUGCGCCGGCGCCGGGGCCGCGGGGAGUCGGGCGAGCCCGGGGAGCCCGCCAGCCCGCCGGGGGCCCGCUCCCCCGCCGCCGCCGCCGCCGCCGCCCGGGACUCGGGGGAACGCGCCGGGUCCGCUUCCAGGCGCGCGGCCCGCUCCCUCCGCCGCCGCCGCCGCCCCGCGUCCUCGGCCUCCUCCUCCUCCUCCUCGGCCUCCUCGGCCUCCGAGCCCUCCAAGGGGGACGCCGCGCCCGCGCCGCGGUCCGCAGCAUCUAGUGGAAAAGGGGCGGGUGACCAGAAGCCCCGCACGACCCAGCCCCUCCGGGUCCCCAGAACUCCUCCUCCUCCUGUUCUUUUUCAGAGCCCCCAGGUCGGCCCCUCUCCGGCAUCGCGCUCCCCCCUCCCCCAUCCCCGCGACCACACAUCCUCGCAAGCCAGGAUUUGGGGUUUAGGGGUGCGGUAUCCUCUUGCCCUUUACUCAGCUGCCGCCUAGCUGACUUCCAAGAAGUGUGUUUUGAAUGAAUGAGUGACACCUUGCAUUAAGAAAAAAUAAUGACCAUAUUGGACAAUAUUGGGAGGGUAGGAUCACUGUACGUUGAGACAUCGAAAUGUCAAGUGCGUUUAGGGCUGUGUCUCUCUGGUCGCUAGAAGCCUAUUUUGGUCUGGAACUCCUAGCAAUUAAAAAAGAAGUUAUUAAGCCCCCCCCCCCACCUUAAAGUGAAAUUCCCUCUUUCCCAUCUUCUCUCUCCUGCCGUGUUAAUAGAGUUUCAGAUUUGUGCGGGGCCGGAUCGAUAGAUGUCAUCUAUUAAAGGUAAGUUUUAAUCGAACAAUAUUAGGAUCAGACAGGGAAAGGGGGUUUGAAGUCGGUACCUGCAAGCUGCGGGCAGGAGAUAUGCAGGCGCCAGUAAUAGAAUAUCGAUCAUGGAGGUGGGGGGAGGGGAGAGCGGCCCCUCCGAGGGGCGAUCCGAACAAUUACCAGGCAGACUACCCUGGCCCAAGCGCAGCCGCCAGAGGCGCCCGGAGGCCCAGACAAUCACUGCCAAACUUGGGGAGGAGAAGCGGGGGGGCUGUGCCACAUCCAGCGUCUCUCGGACCUGCGCCCGGACUCAGCGUCUCUCCAGGGAGCCUCGUGCCCACGCUUCACCCAGCACGGAUCCUGCUGUCUUUUGUCCUACCUUCCGGGCACAAACUCUCCCAGGCUUCUCAUCAAGUGUCCACCAGAGUUAGGUCAAAAUGUUUCGAGGAGAGAGGACCACGGCGGCCUCCCCUCGCCCCACUCCAUCCCUGCUCCCACCCCAGUCAAUGGUUGGGUCUGGGGAGAGAGAGCGCUAGCGGCAUCUCUGCAGGUGUCUCUAUGGUGGGAAGGGUGGUUGGAAGUGGGCACGCGGUGCUUAAACCUGACCUCGCACUCACGAAGACCCCUCCACAUGAUUUCACCUCUGUUUCCUCAAUCAUAAAAUGGAGGCAGUAUUCAUGAUGUUCUCUACCUCGUGGGUUCUGAAGUUUUCCAUGACUUUUAUCCCCGUCUCUAGGCUAGGCCCUGGCACGUAGCGGGCGCAUUAAAUGCCCGAUAAAUGAGUGAGCCUGGAUAAUAAGGUGGACGCCCCUGUUUAGUUUCCACUGCCGAGCAAAAAAAUAGAACUGUGGCGCUUAGUGACUUGGCCGGUGAGUAGGGACCAGCUUUGGUAGGCAAAUCCCUGACCCAGGAUGUUGGCGGCCUCUUUUCUGCCUCAACUCAGUUCCGACACAGAGGCAAGGCAACACUUUGCACCUCGUCCCGGGUGGCCUUCUCCCUUUGGCGAACGCCCCGCUAAGGGCCGCUCACUCUGUCCCUGGUUGCCCUCCCCCUCUCCCCCCGCGCGCCUCCAACUCCCCCAUGGCAUCAUCUGGGCUGAGGCUUCCCGGAACUGGGGACCGCUUCGCAUCCUUACCAGGGGUCUCCCGCUGCCGAGCUGAGUCCCCCGGGCUGGCGUCCUUCCCCGCUUCGGCCUCUGCCAAACUUUUCUUGGCUUCCCGGGGAGCAGGACGCACGGCCGGGAGCGCAGCGCGGGUGAAUUUCUGCGGGUCCAGGAUGUCCAGGACAGAGAAGGAAAUCUUGUGGUGGGCGGGAGCCGCCUUGGCCCCGCCGUCCUGCCAUGCCAGCAUGCCCGCCGCCCGCGGGCCCGAGGCCGGCGGCGCGGGGUCCGGGAUGGCCGCGCUUGGGCUUGCCUUCGGCUGUGGCGGGGGGG